RNAcentral lists this ribosomal RNA (253 nucleotides) under uncultured bacterium. RNAcentral describes it as "partial 16S ribosomal RNA". It matches the Rfam family "Bacterial small subunit ribosomal RNA", at positions 524 to 776 of the family's 1533-position model. The record is from RNAcentral.
UACGAAGGGUGCAAGCGUUAAUCGGAAUUACUGGGCGUAAAGGGUGCGUAGGCGGUUAUUUAAGUCUGCCGUGAAAUCCCCGGGCUCAACCUGGGAAUGGCGGUGGAUACUGGAUAGCUAGAGUGUGUCAGAGGAUGGUGGAAUUCCCGGUGUAGCGGUGAAAUGCGUAGAGAUCGGGAGGAACAUCAGUGGCGAAGGCGGCCAUCUGGGACAACACUGACGCUGAAGCACGAAAGCGUGGGGAGCGAACAGG